RNAcentral lists this transfer RNA (70 nucleotides) under Bolboceratex sp. BOL01. RNAcentral describes it as "tRNA-Ser". Lineage: Eukaryota; Metazoa; Arthropoda; Insecta; Coleoptera; Geotrupidae. The record is from RNAcentral.
AGUUAAUGAACUUGAUAAAAGUUUAUAUUUUGAAAAUAUAAGAAAGAGAUUCAUAAGCCUCUAUUAACUU